Molecule: long non-coding RNA, 2734 nt
Organism: Portunus trituberculatus (swimming crab)
Lineage: Eukaryota; Metazoa; Arthropoda; Malacostraca; Decapoda; Portunidae
Exons: 5
Source: RefSeq, a predicted model, not a curated record
CAACAAAUCUUUGGAAUUUCCCUGAAAGGCUUGACAAAUUUCUUGAGAUUACAAAAUCCUCCAUUUAAUGCACAGCUAUAUGAGUAUGUCAUCACUGAACAGAUAUAUACUAACUAUUAUAGUACUUCAGGAGUAUUCAGGUCAGGUAUGAAGGUACUCAAUGAGAUCUGUUUACCCACUUGUGUAACACACUCCUUGCUUGGCCAACAUUGCUACAUUUUGGUUUGGGUAUAUACCUGGGUAGGUGUAACCUGGGGUAUCACUGUACUAUCCUAGUAAAUUCAAGGGAAUUAUAGGAGCAUUUUGAAUUUCUUGAUUCUCCAGAUUUUGUGUGUCUCUGUCAUUAGAGCUGUGGAGUAAUGGAGGAAAUCAAAAAGGCAGUCCAGAGGGUUCUUCCAAAUCUUCCACAACCUCUAAAGGAAGCAUGUGAACACCUUAUCAAAAUAGGUGUUGAAACAGAAGAUGACCUAAAAUAUGUUCAGCACUUUGAUCUCCCCAUGCUUAAGGAAAUUAAAGUGCGAAAGCUUAUUAGUAACUGGAAAAAAGUUUCAGAGACUGCAGCACCAUCUCAAACAUCACGAGAGACUGCUUCGUCGGACCAAGAUAUAGUAGCUGAAACAGUUGCUCCACCUUCAACCUCUGAGCAUAACAGAGAAACAUCAAAGUUGUUACAGUUAGGUGUAAAUAGUGUUUGGGCUGAUGAGUAUGAAAUUCCAUGGUCAAGAUUUACCCAAAUAAAUCUAAUAACAUGCUUACAAAAUGGGUCGAGACCUCUUCCAUCAGCAAGAAGAGAGAUGGUGAGAAAUCUAGUUGAUGAAAUUUGCAAGAUUUCCCAGAAGCCUGGCAAAAAGGCACUAGCAACAAUUGCACAAAAGAUUGUGAAGAAAUAUCCCAAAUCUUUCCUGGAUGAAAUUGAGAGGGGACUCGUGUUGGUACUGGAUAUGAUUCCCUUCUGAAACAAUUGCAGUCAAGGUUUGACAAUAUAAAUAGAAAUUCUAAUAAUAACUCAUUGAAAAGGAAGAAAUCUCUUGUAACAGAAAAGGGGGAUGUGGAAGCUGGACCAACCCUUAAAAUAUAUUUACGAGAUAGAUAUGGCUGCAUAAAUUAUAUGCCAAGUGAUUACCCAGAUGGGGAAUCAGAAAUAACUCAAGAAAAUAGGCAAGGUUUACUUAAGCGGAAAUACAAGCAAAAACGUAGUGACAAAGUGGAGGAUUUCAUAAAGGACACUUACUUUUCUCAAAGAAAAGAUAUUGUAAAAAGGAAAAUGAAUGUUCUUCACUUAACAAAUGAAUGGCCCUAUUUAUUUGAACCAGUAGGGAUGUUUGUUCACUUUAGGGAGCUCACUGGCAUUAAUAUAAAAGAAAAUUUUGAUUCUGCCAUCACAAGUAAGGAAGCACGGAUUCUGAAAUGGAUGGAAGGAGAACCAAGCAAGAAAAUAAGGAGAAUUCAACAGGAACUUGUAAAAGCUAGCUGCUCUGUUGAUAAUAGCAAUGGAGAAAUAGCAGCCAUGAUCUGUGCAGUUGUGGCUUACAGGAAAAAGAAGAAUUUUUGUAUAUAUGUGUCAAGGUUAGUUACUUAAAAGUUACCUUUAUAUUUAUAAUAAGUGAAUACCAAGCUGAACUGAUAAACCACAUAUUCCAGUAAAAUUAUAAGUAGUUUACCUUUAACAAUGAUAUUAAUGGUUUGUUUUGGUAGCUGAGUUCUGGAAAAUGAAAAAUUUAACCCCUUGAUGUGGACUUCAUGUUUAUUUGUUCAUCUGUACCACUGUGUCUUGUCAAGUACCUGUCUGUCUUUUUGCAUAUGUAGUAUUCAUUUUAUGUGUCAAUUGCUAUUUGUUUGUUUGACUUUUCCAUGAGUGAUUUUUUUUAUCUGUUCUCUAAUUUUGAAGAUUUUCUUAUAUGUAUAUUUAUUUUUGCUGUAACAUUUUUCAGCAAAGUGCAUCUAGGCUUGAUUUUGAGAAGAACCUUCCCCAAAUACCAUGUCUAAUAGGGUUUGGGGAAUCAAGGUUUACAGCAACAAGAUAUAUGCUGUCAAUUGGUGGUGGUGUUGUCACCAAGCAUAUUGCCACAUUCACCACUGGCCUAGCGAUGCUGUUGGCCUCCUAUUACAACUUCAAUAUAAUGUAUCCCAUAGAUUCUGCAUCAACACUUGAAUUCAUUCAAAGAUGUUUUGUUGGCAUCAAUCCUGAACGGGGGAGCAAGAUAGAAAUAAAAGAACAUAGCAAAAGGCGCUCUGAAGUUCAUCCGAAGGUCCUGUCCCUGAUUAAUGCUAUUGCUGAUGUAGAUGGGAGGAGCUGAAUCCCACAAGAUGCUGUCAGCCACUGAAGGGGAGGAAACUAAAAAAUGUGAUUUUCAACUGGAUGAAACUUGUCUUCCAUUCUUGUGAUGUACUUAAAUAAUGCUCUUUUAUUUUAAUGAUGUGUCAGUGAUGAUUAUAAUGGUGCUGCUGUAAAGGUGAUAUAUUGGAAUGCAUAAGUUCAUUAUAUUUUUUCAUUCUGAAAUGCUCUUAAAGGCAUAAUGAUAAUUAUAAUGGUGAUGAUGACAAUGGUGUCAAGUUUUCCUCAUGCAAAUGUAAUGAUGAUUAUAAAGGUGGUGGUGAUGUUUUCUCCAUGAUUGGUGAUGCAUUGGUUAAAUACUUCAUGAUUGGUGAUGCAGGGUUAAAUACUUCAUGAUUGGUGAUGCAGGGUUAAAUACCUCAUGAUUGGUGAUGCAUUGGUUAAAUACUGCAUGAUUGG